GGAAGGACUGGUGUAAGAACUGACCCGCGAAUAAACAAAAGGCCUUGCCCAGAGAACCCAUAGAAGACAGAGCAGGAGAUGAGCGUGCAUCCCUAGAGGUCAGCCAUGACUGGUGACGUCACUGUGGAGCGCAGAGGGGAAGCCACGCAAACCGCAGCAGCGCUUCUCAACGUGGGAGAUUCUUACAAAGAAAUAGAGCGAAACUAAAGUUUCAGAGCACAGUAUCAUCCUACUUAGAUACGAUAGAUUAACAAAUAGAUUGCAAUGAGGGUGUGUGGUGAGAUAGCUUAAAUGAGGAAAGUUGCCAGCCAGCAAGCCUAAGAAAUCCGCAGUUGACCCAGGGCCCACAUGGCAGAACCAACUUCCGCAACACGUGGUCAUCCCUGCCUGAGUCCUCAGAGGAGAUUGCUUCAGACCAUGGAAACAUCUCACUUUCUCAUGACAAACAGAUGACAUUCAAACAAAUGGGAGUCAUCAUGGCAGGGACCUGCAGGGGCUGAAGCAAGGAUCCCAGCAUGCUGUGCGCGUCACACACACUGGAAGGCCGUUUUAAGAAGAGCUUCUUCUGGUAAGAAUGUUGCAACGCAUAAUUGGGAACAUCACGAGGAGGAGGAGAUGACAACUGUGUUCAAAUAAACAUCUGCUUAAGUCCGGU
Long non-coding RNA from Mastomys coucha (southern multimammate mouse), 655 nucleotides. RefSeq lists it as uncharacterized. NCBI's taxonomy places the organism in Eukaryota, Metazoa, Chordata, Mammalia, Rodentia, Muridae. The record is from RefSeq and is a predicted model, not a curated record. The transcript is spliced from 3 exons.